AAUUCCCUUCCUCCCUGCUCUUUCUCCCUCGCUCUCGUGACCUCCAUGCAUCUGGAGAUGGAGACAACGACGCGGCUCUAACGAGUAUGUUUUUCAGGUGCUGUUGCAGUAGGAUAGGGUUCCGGCGAGCUCUCGGGUUCAUAUCUCGUCAUUGUUGCAAUGGUUCUAUCUAGACAUUGCAGUAGGUUUUAGUCGUUGUUGCAGUUUUGUGUUUUGAGAUGUUGUUUCAGUUGCUUCAGUGUGCAUGUUGUAGUAGUUUGUUUUAUGUUGUUACAACAUUUGUUCGGUGUUGUUGUAGUACUAUGUCCAUGGUGUUUUACUCGCUCCAUCCAAUGCUUUAAUCUGCACUGUUGUAUUAGUUGUUGCAUGUUGUUACAACAGUUGGUCGAUGUUGUUGUAAUACAUGUCUAUGGUGUUUCGGUUGCUCCAUCUAAUGCUUCAACCUAUGCUGUUGUAUUAGUUGUUA
Sorghum bicolor (sorghum) is the source of this 466-nucleotide long non-coding RNA. RefSeq lists it as uncharacterized. NCBI's taxonomy places the organism in Eukaryota, Viridiplantae, Streptophyta, Magnoliopsida, Poales, Poaceae. The record is from RefSeq and is a predicted model, not a curated record. The transcript is spliced from 2 exons.